Molecule: non-coding RNA, 552 nt
Organism: Nicotiana tabacum (common tobacco)
Lineage: Eukaryota; Viridiplantae; Streptophyta; Magnoliopsida; Solanales; Solanaceae
Source: RefSeq, a predicted model, not a curated record
CAAAGGCCAGAAACUCUGGCAGAAAUUUCACCAAAUGAUGCGCUUGGUGCACUCUUCGGUCCCGAACACCCUGGUCGUGUUCGAGGCUUAGGCAUGGGUGCAGUUCCAACUGUAGUAUUCAAGCAAACAUCACGCCGAGGUGGUUGUUCUUAUAUGGGCUCAUCUAGCGCUGGUGCUCCACCUCACAAUUGGUGCAAGAGAUGGCAAAUAUGAGAUCACAAUUAAAUGCGGUAACUAGCUUAUUUCAAAUGACAAUUGGAAAUAUCCCGAGCAGUUUGCUCACUUAUUUCCGAAUCCUCCACAGGCACCCAAUUUAGGAGAUAGCGUCCCGUCACCAACUAGGUCAAGAAGAUCCUUUGAUGAAAGCGGAGCAAAUGACAAUUAGUAAUCAUUGUUAGGAUGAACUAUAUUUUUCUUGGAUUGUAAUUGUUAGGAUGAACUAUGUUUUUUGUGUGUUGUAAUUGGUGAAUAACUCUCACCAACUUAAACUUGAAUCUUGGAUGAUAUGGGAUUUUGGGUACCUAUGUUUUAAUAUGAUGAAUAUUUUGCUUA